This 468-nucleotide ribosomal RNA is filed under the name uncultured bacterium. RNAcentral describes it as "partial 16S ribosomal RNA". It matches the Rfam family "Bacterial small subunit ribosomal RNA", at positions 28 to 507 of the family's 1533-position model. The record is from RNAcentral.
GACGAACGCUGGCGGCGUGCUUAACACAUGCAAGUCGAACGGAAAGGCCCUGCUUUUGUGGGGUGCUCGAGUGGCGAACGGGUGAGUAACACGUGAGUAACCUGCCCUUGACUUUGGGAUAACUUCAGGAAACUGGGGCUAAUACCGGAUAGGAGCUCCUGCUGCAUGGUGUGGGUUGGAAAGUUUCGGCGGUUGGGGCUGGACUCGCGGCUUAUCAGCUUGUUGGUGGGGUAGUGGCUUACCAAGGCUUUGACGGGUAGCCGGCCUGGGAGGGUGACCGGCCACAUUGGGACUGAGAUGCGGCCCAGACUCCUACGGGAGGCAGCAGUGGGGGAUAGUGCACAAUGGGCGGAAGCCUGAUGCAGCAACGCCGCGUGCGGGAUGACGGCCUUCGGGUUGUAAACCGCUUUCGCCUGUGACGAAGCGUGAGUGACGGUAAUGGGUAAAGAAGCACCGGCUAACUACGUG